This 468-nucleotide ribosomal RNA is filed under the name uncultured bacterium. Its description in RNAcentral is "partial 16S ribosomal RNA". It matches the Rfam family "Bacterial small subunit ribosomal RNA", at positions 28 to 507 of the family's 1533-position model. The record is from RNAcentral.
GACGAACGCUGGCGGCGUGCUUAACACAUGCAAGUCGAACGGAAAGGCCCUGCUUUUGUGGGGUGAUCGAGUGGCGAACGGGUGAGUAACACGUGAGUAACCUGCCCUUGACUUUGGGAUAACUUCAGGAAACUGGGGCUAAUACCGGAUAGGAGCUCCUGCUGCAUGGUGGGGGUUGGAAAGUUUCGGCGGUUGGGGAUGGACUCGCGGCUUAUCAGCUUGUUGGUGGGGUAGUGGCUUACCAAGGCUGUGACGGGUAGCCGGCCUGAGAGGGUGGACGGCCACAUUGGUACUGAGGUACGGCCCAGACUCCUACGGGAGGCAGCGGUGGGGAAUAUUGCACAAUGGGCGGAAGCCUGAUGCAGCAACGCCGCGUGCGGGAUGACGGCUUUCGGGUUGUAAACCGCUUUCGCCUGUGACGAAGCGUGAGUGACGGUAAUGGGUAAAGAAGCACCGGCUAACUACGUG